Molecule: long non-coding RNA, 6884 nt
Filed under: Nicotiana tabacum (common tobacco)
Lineage: Eukaryota; Viridiplantae; Streptophyta; Magnoliopsida; Solanales; Solanaceae
Description: long non-coding RNA (NTAB_LNC010323)
Source: RNAcentral
CUGUCUUUAACAUCUCAUGACUUUAGCCUCAAUUUGUUCUUGGUUUGAAACCAAGAAUGUGACUGCUAUUUCGUCCAAACAAUUUCACCCUUUAGCCAAAAAUAUUUCGAUAGAAAUUUCAAAAGGCCACCACAAUUUCGUUCAAAAUUUCAAAGGGAUUCAGGCAGAAUUUCGUUCAACACAGUUCACGGAAGCAGAAGCUUCAUUCCGUUCAAAUAACUCCAGGAACAGGUAUGUUAAGGCUAUCCCUUCUUUCUUUUGGCAUGGUCCAAAUUAUACUAAAGAAACGAGCAAAUACAUAGUUUUCUAUAAAUUAUUCUAUUCACAAAAAUAGUAGGGGUGUCUAUAUUCUUGAUUCCCCAUGAGAAUUAUUAUUAUCUUCUGUUCAUGGGUCUCAGAAUAAUAUGUAGUUGAAAUAGUUUAUCCGAAAGGAAUAUUAAGAUUAUUAUGUAUUUUCAUGCAUUUCACCCAUUUAUACAUGUGUAUGGACCCAUGAUCAGAUGGCGUUAUAUAAACAUAUAUAUGUAUAUUAUAUUUAUAUGGGAUACGGGAAAAAGGUUACGGCGUUAUAUACGCACCACUACCUGAUCAGCUGGUAUAUGAUGAUGAUGUUGCCCAUAGUGCCUGAAAUAUGAUUCAAACGGCGUUAUAUACGUGUAUAUAUGUAUGUAUAUAUAUAUAUGUAUAUGGGAUAUGGGAAAGAUUAUAGCGUUAUAUACGCACCACCACCUGAUCAGCUGGUAUACGAUGAUGAUGUUGCCCGCUGUGGCCAAUAUGAUAUGAUGGGAUGCCCUCAAAGGUUGAUGAUGUUAUGAAACAUAUACCUAUGCACGACAUGACAUUCAUACGUAAAUGCAUGACGCUAAAAGUAAUUUAUGAUUUACAAAGUUAUUUAGACUUAUAAGUUCAGUCAUGUACUCUAUAUUUCUCUCAUGUCUCUUAUGUACUUACUUAUGUGCCUUACAUACUCGGUACAUUAUUCGUACUUACGUCCCUUUUGCCUGGGGAUGCUGNNNNNNNNNNNNNNNNNNNNNNNNNAGUAUGAUUUAGAUGUGUAUUGUUUGGUAUGGCGGGACUCUAUCCCGACCUUUAUGAUAUUUAUGUACUCUUAGAGGCUUGUAGACAUAUGUCAUAUAUGUGAAAGAUUGUACCACCUUGUCGGCCUAUGUUUUGAGUUUAUAAAUGAUUAUGUUGGCCUAUUAGGCCUGUAUGUCACGUGUAUGUGAUGAUGUAAUAAGAAAGAUACGUUACAUUGGCACUCGGUCGAGUAAGGUACCGGGUGCCCGUCGCGGCUCAUCGGUUUGGGUCGUGACAAAAGUGGUAUCAGAGCAGUUCAGUCCUAGGGAGUCUACAAGCCAUGUCUAGUAGUCUUAUUUAUGGGUAUGUCGUGCACCACACUUAUAAGCAGGAGGCUAUAGGGCAUUUGGGAUUGUCACUAUUUCUUCUUACUCUAGAUCAAGUGGUAGAGCUCACUUAUAAGAAUUCAAAUUUCGAAAUUCUAUUUUGUUCAUAAUCAAACGAUGCCUACAUUCAGAAAGACGGUCGAUAAGGGAUAUAACUGUGGAAGUGUUGAGUUAGAGGAACUCGAUUUUGCAUCUUGAUUAUGAUGAAUAAAUGUGAGGUCUUCGACAAAUCAUGCGUGUACUAAAAGGUGUAAGGUUCUUGAUAAGGAGCCUUAAGGAAAGAAUACUUAUCCACUCUUACGGUAAAAAGGAAUAACAGAAUCGAAAGUUAGACACAAGUUUCAGCAAGUAAAAGAAGCAAGGUGAAGAAAGGUACGAGGUACCUAGUUAAUAAAGAUUAUCAUUAUUUAUCAUUUACUAUUUUAGAGUGCACCAUCUAUUUUCACUCGGUAUAAGCAUUUUGAGUUACCUUUAACAAUAACAGAUGUACGUACAAUCGGCCACACCUAUCUUAGUCAUGCCCUAUGAGAGCUAACAGAUAUGGUUUAAGAGAAGGAUAUGAUAGCAUGAUCCGGGUGGGGUUAGAGUAACCAAAAUGAUGGAUGGAUAGUUUGCGCUAAUUUACAUUUCGAAAGGAUAUUAAAAAGGUGAAAAUAGAUCUCCUUAUGAGAUACCUAGAUGGUGCACUCUAAAAUAGUACAGCUAUACAUGAGUACUACAAAGGCAGGCACUGAAAGCCUGAAAAGGAUAAAUAUUAUCUCAGUAUGGCUCCCGUCCCUAGUAGAGAGAUAAUGCUAGGCAACCCAAAGAGCUAGUGGAUGGUGCAGAGGGGAACUAAAAGCAAAAGAAUAUCUUGUUGAAGUAUUCAGAAUAAAGUGAUAAACAGAAAUGUUAGCAGGAAAUAAGAAGAGAGCUAAUGAAGCAUUAAGAGUAAGAUGUGAUACAUGGAUGACAAUGGUAGGCCAAAAAGAUGACAGUAUUCCAGAGUUCAUAGUCAAGUGAAGGAAAAGACGAGAAGUGACAGGCCUUGAGGUAACAAAAGAAUAUAGGCCAUAAAGUCGUAUCCUCACUUCGAGAAACAAGUUCACGACGCUAAAGUGAUUCAGAAGAAAAAGUUAGACCGUAGAGUAAUAGAAGUCAGCUUGGAAUGGUGGAAAAAGAUAAACUAAACAUGAAUUAGGGACUGAGUGAUUUGAUGGUGGUCGGCAUCAUGAGAACUUCAUAUUGCGUUCCGGCGAUAAUAGAAUGGACCAUAGAGGAAGAUUCAUGAGAAAUUCAGAGAAUGGUUAUUCAGGAAGACGCUUCCCUAAAGCAAGCAAUGUGAGCAAAGUUAAGCUUAAGGGAUUGUAUGUGCCAGUUACACUAAGUAUCACCCUCGUGAGUGAGGAAUUUUGUUAUCUUUGAUACAGAAGGAUUGCCGCAAGGCGAGUAAGGGUCAUCGAUGAUGUGAAAAGACGCCAAAGAUGAAGAGGUAACACAUCUAUAGGUAGAUCCUCGUGGCUUCAACUCUUAGUACUCCCCUAAAGGGGGGAAUGUGGAGUGAUGUGGUGUUAAGUCAGAAUUAAGUGGUUCUAGUAGCUACGAAUUGGUAAAGAAAAAAUGCAAUAAAAAUAAGAAAGAGAUGAGAUUGCACUAUUCAAAACCUACAGAUAGACUACGAUCCCAGAACAUUAUGAAAACACGACGUCAAGGAGAAGAAGUGAGGCCUUCCUGCCUGGAAUGUUAUAGAUAAAUAAGGAGCUAGUGCGAGACGUAAGUUAAGACAAAGUAAAUAACCCAAGAAAGAUUAUGUGGAAUAUUUAUGUGAUAAUGGACCAACGAGUAGUUAGCAGUUGAUUAAGGAUGAGCCUAGUUACGGCUAGACAGGAGGUUACAGACAAAUCAAUAGAUCGUGCAAGAUAAACAUAGUAAAACCCAAUAUAUUGAAUUUAGCUUCACAGUAAUGUUAUUGUAAUACUUGAAAUAUAUUCAGAUAGGAGUCAAGGUAGUUAAAGGUACCGUAUGAAUGUUACGGGAAUAAAAGAGAGUGUCACUGGGGAGACAGUUAAAAUAUCAGUUCAGAAGCAACCCUACAAGCACAAAGGCACGGAGGUAAGCAACUAUGGAUAAUUAUAGGCAAGGAAGGACAUCAAAAGGUUCAUAAUAAGCUCACAACUUUAUAGGAAUCAAGGGUUCUCCCUAAGUACUAUAACGAAAUACUUGCUGAGGAAAUAAGGAAGAAGGCUUCAACCUAAGCACAAUGACCUAAAAAGGAAAGGGUCGUGUAACAACAGUCUCACAACAACAUUGUAAGCACUCCAAAGGAAAGUGGCCCCUACCGUGGAUAAUGAACGAGAAGAAAAAUUAAAAGUAAUAUUCAAAAGUCGUAUGAGUUGCACGAAAAGUCUAGCAUGCGUGAGAACUAAGAUAAGCUACGUAUGCACGCAACAAGGGGGCAGAAAGACCAGGAAAGGUAAUAGCUUACAUUGAAGAAAGCUAAGAAGAAACGAAAGAGAUUAUUCGAUCAAUGGUCCCAAGUUGGUAACGUUAUGAACGCACUUAAGAGUUUGGAGUUUUAUACAUGCAUCAUAUACAGCCGUAGAAGAUUCUGGUAUAUGUUAAAAGAAAGAAUUUAGCUCAGGUCAUAGAUGAAGGAUUGAAUUGUUAAAGGAUUUUAUCAUAAAUAUCCCUCAGCGCCUAUGAAAGGCUAAAGUAAUAGCUAAUACCAGAAGCCGCAGGUCGGAAGAUAUCUUAAGCCUACAUAGAGGCUGAUCAGAAAGAAGAGGAGACUAAAGAGUUACAUCGACUAAGCAAAAAAGGAGGGACCAAGAGAAUUAUAGACCUCAGGAUCACUCUUAAGUAGCAGAGGUAUAAGAAAGAUAGUGCAGUAGCCAUAUUUUAUAAUAGCUUUAUGAUGAAGCCAACUGAAGAGUACCAUCCUCAUAAGAAGUCAGUACGAAGCUCCCACCGGAUUGUGUAUGCACCAGAGGUGUAAGAAUUAUAAUAGAGCUUCAAGUUAUGGACGUGAAUUAUACCUAUGUAGAAGGGAGGUCAUGAAAGAGAUAGAAGAUACAAUGCGAGAUUUUAAGGUAAGUAAGGUAAAGGUGAACAGGGUACGAGAUACUCAAAGGUAGAAUAUGUGAAUAGUCCAUACUUCGGAUAAAAGGCUAGAAAUGCUAGGAUUCAAUAUCCAAGAAUGAUAGUGGCAUAGUCAGUGGCAUAUCUCAUAGCCUAUGGUUUCUAGGUAUCGAGGAGGCUAAUUAAGACAGUAAAGAAGAGUUAGAGACAAUGUGAUGUCUCGCUUGAUGUCCCAUAAUGACAUAAGAAAAUCUAUGAUGCAAGCAAGUUGAAAGGUUGCAAGUAAUAUAAAUAGAGUUGUGUAGGUCGCAAGCCAUUGUAUGGUGAAGCGACAAGGUUCUAGAAGACAAGAGUAAGGAUAAGAAAGGGCGAGUGAGAAGGUAAUAAAAAUGGAUAAGUCCUCAGGAUUAAGCCCAUGAAAACAAGAAGAGUAGAUGGUUUCUCUAAAUUAUACAAAGCUCACUAUAGCCUGAAUGAACUCAAAUGAGUCUAAAACUAUUAGCAUUGAGAAUGCCACCCUGGUAAUAGAUUGGGGGUGUAAUUGUGAUAGAUAAAAGAUGACAUUUGGGCCUUCAAUUGAGUAAUGAUUCAACGAAGAAAAGAAACGGAUCUUAUGAAAUUGGACAGGAUUAAAGUACCCAUGCAAGGUGAAUCGCAUUGGGAUGCUGUGAGGUACAGCUAUGAAAGCAGGGUAUCGCCCCAGGUGGAUCAAUCUAAUCAUUUCAGAUGUUCCCCAAUAAAACGUGAAUCCUAGCAGCAAUAUUACAUAAAAGGUUAAAUUAUCAGUGGUAUAUUGUAGAUCAAUAUUGAGGUGAAUCAAUAAUGGAUGGACAAAAGUUACAAAGUAUGAGAUAAGAUUAGGCCGUCAUUCUAAGGAUGAACAGUAAUGAGGAAGCAUUAAAGGACUUAAAUUUAUACAUAUGGAAUGAGAAACGAGAGUAAGCUGGGAUUUGGUAGCAGACCUCAGCAAUAAUAAAUUAAAGUAAGAGUUAUGGAAGUAAAUUCAUACGAAUGGUUAAACAGACCUAUGCGAUGAGAUAUAACAAUAUUUGUGAAUUCAACCAAGUACCGGGCGAAGAACUUCAGUAUACUCAUAAAUACCCAAAGGGACAUCUUAUCAAGCUCUACAUGUGAAGCCUAGAGAUUGAAGACACUUAUGAGAUCAAAACUAUACAGGUUGCAUGCUGAAAGGUAGCAAUAGUUACAAGAUUGGAAGGAUUCCGACUACAAGUUAUAGUGUGAGAAGGAGGCCUAAGGGGGGAUGCCCUAGACUUUGAACUUAUUCACAGAACAGUCGCCUAGAUGGAAAGGAAAGUUCUAAAGUAUUCGGAAGAUAUAAGUUAUGAAAAUGAUAAGAGCAUUAGACAACAUUCAAGUACGAAUGUUCCAAAGGGGGGAAUGAUGUUACACCCCGCAAUAUUACAUCAAUAUUACGUCCUGCAGUAUUAUAUUACGACAAUGUUACCCUCUGCAGUAAUAUAUUACGAUGAUGUUAUGUCCAAUAGUAUUAAGUUACGAUAGUGUUCUACCGAGCAGUAUUACAUUACGGUGAUGCUACGCUUCGCAGUAAUAAGUUACGACAGUGUUGCACCUUGUAGUAUUGUACGUUGAAUUUUACGUAAGGUAAUUGACAUCAGUCCAAGGAAAAGAUUAUUUGGAGAUUAUAAGGAUUGUAAGUGAUGAAUAAAUUCGUGAAGGUGAGCGGGGAAGCAAGUCGAAGAAAAUGAAUUUCGUUGAAAUUUGGUAUUUUGGAAUAAAAUACGGCUCAAGCUAAAAUACUCGAUAUUUAUGAACUAGUACCAUACAAGGUACCGCAUGACCAUAAUAGUAAGGCGUAUAAGGUAUGUGAAAAAUGAGUAAUAUUUCAAGUAAGUGAGAAUAAUUCUCAAAUUUUCGGGUAAUUGGUUAAUUACCGGGUAACGGGACAUUACCCGAUUAACUAAGUGGGUAAAAUUUAAUAAACUAACCACCCCACCCACGUGGCACAAGGCCACUAAUUAAAAAGGAUAACUCAUAAACAAUUGAAAUAAGUGUCUAAUCUUAUCCCUACAAGGAAUCUGAUAAACCCACUAAUAUGAUACAUCAAAUUAAUAUCAAGUCCAUUAAAAACCAAGAAAACGGAAGCAAACUUCAUUCUUGGCUGUCUUUAACAUCUCAUGACUUUAGCUUCAAUUUGUUCUUGGUUUGAAACCAAGAAUGUGACUGCUAUUUUGUCCAAACAAUUCCACCCUUUAGCCAAAAAUAUUUCUAUAGAAAUUUCAAAAGGCCACCACAAUUUCGUUCAAAAUUUAAAAGGGAUUCAGGCAGAAUUUCAUUCAACACAGUUCACGGAAGCAGAAGCUUCACUCCGUUCAAAUAACUCCAGGAACAGGUAUGUUAAGGCUAUCCCUUCUUUCUUUUGGCAUGGUCCAAAUUAUACUAAAG